GAUGAGAACGUAGCGAAAUGCGAUAAGUAGUGUGAAUUGCAGAAUUCAGUGAAUCAUCGAAUCUUUGAACGCACAUUGCGCCCGCCAGUAUUCUGGCGGGCAUGCCUGUUCGAGCGUCAUUUCAACCCUCAAGCCCCCGGGCUUGGUGUUGGGGAUCGGCGUGCCCUCGCGGCGCGCCGUCCCCUAAAUCUAGUGGCGGUCUCGCUGUAGCUUCCUCUGCGUAGUAGCAACACUCGCACUGGAUCGCAGCGCGGCCACGCCGUUAAACCCCCCACUUCUGAAAGUUUGACCUCGGAUCAGGUAGGAAUACCCGCUGAACUUAAGCAUAUCAAUAAGCGGAGGA
RNAcentral lists this unclassified non-coding RNA (343 nucleotides) under soil metagenome. RNAcentral describes it as "partial contains 5.8S ribosomal RNA, internal transcribed spacer 2, and large subunit ribosomal RNA". The stretch from base 5 to 119 matches the Rfam family "5.8S ribosomal RNA", at positions 40 to 154 of the family's 154-position model. The record is from RNAcentral.